UCACAUAUGAUUGUGUGGCCAGACUGUAUAACAAACAAGAACUGUGUGGUUCCAAAGUCUCUUUCAUUCCAGUAGUCAUAUGGCCAUGUCACUAGCCCAUGUGUGAUACACGACAGUGUGUCAGCCCGUAUGGCACAAAAUAUGUCAUUUUAAACUUGUUACAAAACAACAUAAACUUUUAACACAUUGGUGCAUGCUUACACCUUUAAACCUGCAUCAAACCAUACCAAGCAUAUACUAAGAUGUUCUUUAUCUACACGAAACUUCUAAACAUUCAAACAAGAAAUGCAAAAAAAAAAAAAAAUCAACAUCUCAUUCCAACUUCUUUACCUCCAACAUUUUCCAC
RNAcentral lists this long non-coding RNA (346 nucleotides) under Gossypium raimondii (Peruvian cotton). Its description in RNAcentral is "long non-coding RNA (GRAI_LNC004601)". Lineage: Eukaryota; Viridiplantae; Streptophyta; Magnoliopsida; Malvales; Malvaceae. The record is from RNAcentral.